RNAcentral lists this ribosomal RNA (376 nucleotides) under uncultured bacterium. Its description in RNAcentral is "bacterial SSU rRNA". It matches the Rfam family "Bacterial small subunit ribosomal RNA", at positions 524 to 898 of the family's 1533-position model. The record is from RNAcentral.
GACAGAGGGUGCAAACGUUGUUCGGAAUUACUGGGCGUAAAGCGAGUGUAGGCGGUUUGGUAAGUCGGAUGUGAAAGCCCCGGGCUCAACCCGGGAAGUGCACUCGAUACUGCCAAGCUAGAGUAUCGGAGAGGUUGGUGGAAUUCUCGGUGUAGAGGUGAAAUUCGUAGAUAUCGAGAGGAACACCGGUGGCGAAGGCGGCCAACUGGACGAAUACUGACGCUGAGACUCGAAAGCGUGGGGAGCAAACAGGAUUAGAUACCCUGGUAGUCCACGCCGUAAACGAUGGGUGCUAGGUGUCGCGGGCUUUGACUCCUGCGGUGCCGUAGCUAACGCAUUAAGCACCCCGCCUGGGAAGUACGGCCGCAAGGCUAAA